AUAUACAUUUUAAGACCUAACCAGGAACGACUGCGAAAAAUGCAGCACAAGGUCCUCUGGUCUACCAGAGGACCUUGUGCUGCAUUUUUCGCAGUCGUUCCUGGUUAGGUCCCAAAAUGUAUAU
Non-coding RNA from Paramuricea clavata, 124 nucleotides. NCBI's taxonomy places the organism in Eukaryota, Metazoa, Cnidaria, Anthozoa, Malacalcyonacea, Plexauridae. The record is from the annotation of a GenBank genome assembly.